Molecule: ribosomal RNA, 1189 nt
Filed under: Yersinia enterocolitica
Lineage: Bacteria; Pseudomonadati; Pseudomonadota; Gammaproteobacteria; Enterobacterales; Yersiniaceae
Description: bacterial SSU rRNA
Rfam family: Bacterial small subunit ribosomal RNA
Source: RNAcentral
AUUGAACGCUGGCGGCAGGCCUAACACAUGCAAGUCGAGCGGCAGCGGGAAGUAGUUUACUACUUUGCCGGCGAGCGGCGGACGGGUGAGUAAUGUCUGGGAAACUGCCUGAUGGAGGGGGAUAACUACUGGAAACGGUAGCUAAUACCGCAUAACGUCUUCGGACCAAAGUGGGGGACCUUAGGGCCUCACGCCAUCGGAUGUGCCCAGAUGGGAUUAGCUAGUAGGUGGGGUAAUGGCUCACCUAGGCGACGAUCCCUAGCUGGUCUGAGAGGAUGACCAGCCACACUGGAACUGAGACACGGUCCAGACUCCUACGGGAGGCAGCAGUGGGGAAUAUUGCACAAUGGGCGCAAGCCUGAUGCAGCCAUGCCGCGUGUGUGAAGAAGGCCUUCGGGUUGUAAAGCACUUUCAGCGAGGAGGAAGGCCAAUAACUUAAUACGUUGUUGGAUUGACGUUACUCGCAGAAGAAGCACCGGCUAACUCCGUGCCAGCAGCCGCGGUAAUACGGAGGGUGCAAGCGUUAAUCGGAAUUACUGGGCGUAAAGCGCACGCAGGCGGUUUGUUAAGUCAGAUGUGAAAUCCCCGCGCUUAACGUGGGAACUGCAUUUGAAACUGGCAAGCUAGAGUCUUGUAGAGGGGGGUAGAAUUCCAGGUGUAGCGGUGAAAUGCGUAGAGAUCUGGAGGAAUACCGGUGGCGAAGGCGGCCCCCUGGACAAAGACUGACGCUCAGGUGCGAAAGCGUGGGGAGCAAACAGGAUUAGAUACCCUGGUAGUCCACGCUGUAAACGAUGUCGACUUGGAGGUUGUGCCCUUGAGGCGUGGCUUCCGGAGCUAACGCGUUAAGUCGACCGCCUGGGGAGUACGGCCGCAAGGUUAAAACUCAAAUGAAUUGACGGGGGCCCGCACAAGCGGUGGAGCAUGUGGUUUAAUUCGAUGCAACGCGAAGAACCUUACCUACUCUUGACAUCCACGGAAUUUAGCAGAGAUGCUUUAGUGCCUUCGGGAACCGUGAGACAGGUGCUGCAUGGCUGUCGUCAGCUCGUGUUGUGAAAUGUUGGGUUAAGUCCCGCAACGAGCGCAACCCUUAUCCUUUGUUGCCAGCACGUAAUGGUGGGAACUCAAAGGAGACUGCCGGUGAUAAACCGGAGGAAGGUGGGGAUGACGUCAAGUCAUCAUGGCCCUACGA